GAAAUAUAUUAUAAUUAAGCUGCUAACUUAAUUGUUAGUGGUUUAUCCCAUUAAUAUUUCU
RNAcentral lists this transfer RNA (61 nucleotides) under Orthopygia glaucinalis. RNAcentral describes it as "tRNA-Ser". Lineage: Eukaryota; Metazoa; Arthropoda; Insecta; Lepidoptera; Pyralidae. The record is from RNAcentral.